This is an RNA transcript of Felis catus (domestic cat), 3165 nucleotides long. It is a transcript of the gene named tripartite motif containing 45, with no coding region annotated. The record is from RefSeq and is a predicted model, not a curated record. The transcript has 9 exons. Lineage: Eukaryota; Metazoa; Chordata; Mammalia; Carnivora; Felidae.
CCCUCCCCGUCGGAGUGGCCCGGCGAAGAUGUGGAAUUUCCAAACCUUAUUGGAUGGUGGUGGUGUCACUCUGGGGGGAGGCGGGACCCCCAGCGGCGAAGGCCGCCCCUCUCGGACGGUGAUUGGACUCGCCUGAGUAGACCGGGCUGGGAUUGGUGCGAGGUGGGGCCAGAGCCAUCGGGCACCUUGAGCCGAGGUGUCGGGGAGGCGGCGGCCGCCGAGAAGCCGGCCGGACUCGCAGCUUCUUUGCCCGCCGUGUGCGGUCCGCGAAGGGCCGGGUCGAGGGAAGGAGCGGGAGCCCCCCUCCCCACCUCAUCACGCGGGGGCGGGGGAGGCGCUUGUCGCGUGUCGGGCGCAGGACCCUUGGGGCCGGGACGCGGGAGGGGGGCGGGUAGUGGAGGAAGGGAGAGGUGCAGGGGUCCAGGAGUUGGCAUCAGGACCAGCUCAGGAUUUAGACCUGGAAGUGCUUCCGGGGCGGAGGACUUGGGGGGCAGAGGAGGGCGUGGGUGCGUCUGGUAUGGGAUGCCAUGGAAAGGAGGGGGCCCUCCUAAAUAGAUCCGUGGGUGGUUCUUUUGACUCUUCUAUCAUUUUGCCCUUUGCUUUGCCGAAGAGAGAGUCCCCAUGGUCUCUGCUCAAAUUCUGGAAACUUUCUCUUUGGGUGGGCUUAAUCACCUACUACUUUAUUAUAGAACUACCCAGAGCCUUUCCUGAUACUGGGCACAAACGUGGGGAAUAUGUCAGAAAACAGGAAGCCGCUGCUGGGCUUCGUGGGCAAACUCCCCAGUGGGACUGCACUUGGGAACUCAGGCAAGACUCACUGCCCUUUGUGCAUGGGGCUUUUCAAAGCCCCCAGGCUCUUGCCUUGUUUGCACACAGUUUGCACCACGUGUCUGGAGCAGCUGGAACCCUACUCGGUAGUGGACAUCCGAGGGGGCGACUCUGACACAAGCUCUGAGGGGUCAAUAUUCCAGGAACUCAAGCCACCCAGUCUGCAGCCCCAGAUCGGCAUCCUCUGUCCGGUAUGUGACACUCAGGUGGACCUGCCCAUGGGUGGAGUGAAGGCUUUAACCAUAGACCACCUGGCCAUGAAUGACGUGAUGCUGGAGAGUCUUCGUGGGGAAGGCCAGGGCCUGGUGUGUGACCUGUGCAGCGACAGGGAAGUGGAGAAGAGAUGUCAGACCUGCAGAGCCAACCUCUGCCACUUCUGCUGCCAGGCUCAUAGGCGGCAGAAGAAAACAACUUACCACACGGUGGUGGACCUAAAAGACUUGAAAGGCUACAGCAGGAUCGGGAAGCCCAUUCUGUGUCCCGUGCACCCUGCAGAGGAGCUGAGACUGUUCUGUGAGCUCUGUGACCGGCCCGUGUGCCGGGACUGCGUGGUGGGCGAGCACCGGGAGCACCCCUACGACUUCGCCAGCAACGUUAUCCACAAGCACGGGGACUCCGUGCGGGAGCUUCUCAGAGGCACCCAGCCCCACGUGGAGGCCCUGGAGGAAGCCCUGGCACAGAUCACAGAGAUGAACAGUGCCCUCCAGAAGCGAGUGGAGGCUGUGGCAGCUGACGUGCGAACGUUCUCCGAGGGUUACGUCAAGGCCAUUGAGGAGCACCGGGACAGGCUGCUGAAGCAGCUGGAAGACAUCCGGGUCCAGAAGGAAAACUCCCUGCAGCUGCAGAAGGCACAGCUCGAGCAGCUGCUGGCGGACAUGCGGACGGGCGUGGAGUUCACUGAGCACCUGCUGACCAGUGGCUCGGACUUGGAGAUCCUCAUCACCAAGGGGGUGGUAGUGGAACGGCUCACGAAGCUGAACAAAGUCGAAUAUAGUGCCCAUCCUGGAGUAAACGAUAAGAUACGCUUCUCUCCUCAGCAGAGAGCAGGCCGGUGCCGUGGCUAUGAAGUUUAUGGGACCAUCAAUACGAAAGAGGUCGAUCCAGCUAAAUGUGUCCUUCAAGGAGAAGAUCUCCACAGAGCCCGGGAGAAACAGACAGCCUCUUUCACCCUGCUUUGUAAGGAUGCAGCAGGAGAGAGCAUGGGCAGGGGAGGAGACAGCGUGCACGUCGCUGUAGUCCCCAAAGAUAAGAAAGACAGUCCGGUCAGAACGCUGGUACAAGAUAACAAGGACGGGACGUACUAUGUCUCCUAUACUCCCAAGGAGCCUGGCGUCUAUACCGUGUUGGUCUGCGUCAAAGAGCAGCAUGUGCAGGGCUCACCAUUCACUGUGACCGUGAGGAAAAGGCAUCGCUCACACACAGGCGUGUUUCACUGCUGCACGUUCUGCUCCAGCGGAGGCCAGAAAACGGCUCGCUGUGCCUGUGGAGGCACCAUGCCAGGUGGGUACCUGGGCUGUGGCCACGGACACAAAGGUCACCCAGGCCGCCCGCACUGGUCAUGCUGCGGGAAGUUCGCUGAGAAGUCGGAAUGCACAUGGACAGGUGGGGAGAGUGCACCAAGGAGUCUACUCAGGACCGUAGCCCUCUGAUGCUUUCCUGGCUAUGCGGUCAGCUUGUCCGAGUGGUGCCCAGCGCAACUUCAGAUGACCAGAGGACCCCAGACAUUAAUUCUGAAGAAUCUGGGCUCACAGAUAGGAGCUACGUCGGAGCCGUAAAUCCUAAGGUGUUCACUAUAUUCUCAUCCUUUUCUGGGAAGAUUCCCCUCCACGCUCUCUAACCCACAUCUCAUCUUCCCAGAAGACAGCGAUGGCCCCGUGACCCUCAUGAAGUGUUAGCGAGUUGCUUUUCCUCACUCCUUCCAACUGCUCCAACCAGAGCUCAGCCAUACAGUCGGUCACCCCCCGGACCUGGCUGGAUUCCAACUGCACCGUCUGCAGAGUUUGAAUUUCAAGCCUCCUACGACCACAAGCUCCCAUCUCUCUGGCUCACCCACUGUUUCUGCUACUGUGUCAAACAUCGCAUCGGAGCGGUCUCUAGCUACCUUGGAUAAGAUAGCAUCUCCCCACCCCAGGACUCUGUAUCACCCUUAUUCGGCUUCCUCACCACCUCACACACAUACUUGUUUAACGUCUGUUCUCUCAUAUGACACUCGGCUCUGUGAAGACAGGGACUUGACAUUAUCGAUUAUAUUGGCCCCACGUAGGACAGUUCCUGGCACACAGGAGAGGCUUAAUCAUUUUGUUGAAUAAAUAAAGGUAUCACUUGGUACACGUUUUA